This 433-nucleotide unclassified non-coding RNA is filed under the name soil metagenome. RNAcentral describes it as "partial contains 5.8S ribosomal RNA, internal transcribed spacer 2, and large subunit ribosomal RNA". The stretch from base 1 to 120 matches the Rfam family "5.8S ribosomal RNA", at positions 35 to 154 of the family's 154-position model. The record is from RNAcentral.
GAUGAAGAACGCAGCGAAAUGCGAUACGUAAUGUGAAUUCCAGAAUUCAGUGAAUCAUCGAAUCUUUGAACGCAUAUUGCGCUCUCUGGUAUUCCGGAGAGCAUGCUUGUUUGAGUAUCAGUAAUCACCUCAACUUCCAUAUCUUUUUUGAAAUGGGAGUUGGACUUGAGUGAUCCCAACGCUUUUCCUCACCGAAAAGUGGCGGGUUACUUGAAAUGCAGGUGCAGCUGGACUUUUCUCUGAGCUAUAAGCAUAUCUAUUUAGUCUGCCUAAAAAACAGAUUAUUACCUUUGCUGCAGCUAACAUAAAGGAGAUUAGUUCUUGUGCUGACUGAUGCAGGAUUCACAAAGACAGGCUUCGGCCGACUUUGUAAACUCGAUCUCAAAUCAAGUAAGACUACCCGCUGAACUUAAGCAUAUCAAUAAGCGGAGGA